Molecule: ribosomal RNA, 423 nt
Filed under: uncultured Gigasporaceae
Lineage: Eukaryota; Fungi; Glomeromycota; Glomeromycetes; Diversisporales; Gigasporaceae
Description: SSU rRNA
Rfam family: Eukaryotic small subunit ribosomal RNA
Source: RNAcentral
GGGAGGUAGUGACAAUAAAUAACAAUACAGGGCUCUUACGGGUCUUGUAAUUGGAAUGAGUACAAUUUAAAUCUCUUAACGAGGAACAAUUGGAGGGCAAGUCUGGUGCCAGCAGCCGCGGUAAUUCCAGCUCCAAUAGCGUAUAUUAAAGUUGUUGCAGUUAAAAAGCUCGUAGUUGAAUUUCGGGAUUCUUCCGUUGGUCAGGCUAACCAGUCUGUACUAGCGUGUAGAAUUCCUGCCUUCUGGGGAACCAUCGUGUUAUUAAUUUAGCGUGGUGGGAAACCAGGACCUUUACCUUGAAAAAAAUUAGAGUGUUCAAAGCAGGCUUACGUCUGAAUACAUUAGCAUGGAAUAAUAAAAUAGGACGGUGGUCCUGUUUUGUUGGUUUCUGAAUCACCGUAAUGAUUAAUAGGGAUAGUUGGG